GCUGGGUGUGGUGGCGCACGCCUGUAAUCCCAGCUACUCAGGAGGCUGAGGCAGGAGAAUCACUUGAACCCAGGAAGUGGAGGUUGCAGUGAGCUGAGAUUGCGCCACUGCACUCCAGCCUGGAUGACAGAGUGAGACUCUGUCUCAA
Molecule: unclassified non-coding RNA, 148 nt
Organism: Pongo abelii (Sumatran orangutan)
Lineage: Eukaryota; Metazoa; Chordata; Mammalia; Primates; Hominidae
Rfam family: Metazoan signal recognition particle RNA
About the family: The signal recognition particle (SRP) is a universally conserved ribonucleoprotein. It is involved in the co-translational targeting of proteins to membranes. The eukaryotic SRP consists of a 300-nucleotide 7S RNA and six proteins: SRPs 72, 68, 54, 19, 14, and 9.
Source: Ensembl